GGGUUGUGAGGUUAAGCGACUAAGCGUACACGGUGGAUGCCCUGGCAGUCAGAGGCGAUGAAGGGCGUGCUAAUCUGCGAUAAGCGCCGGUAAGGUGAUAUGAACCGUUAUAACCGGCGAUACCCGAAUGGGGAAACCCAGUGUGACUCGUCACACUAUCAUUAACUGAAUCCAUAGGUUAAUGAGGCGAACCGGGGGAACUGAAACAUCUAAGUACCCCGAGGAAAAGAAAUCAACCGAGAUUCCCCCAGUAGCGGCGAGCGAACGGGGAGGAGCCCAGAGCCUGAAUCAGCAUGUGUGUUAGUGGAAGCGUCUGGAAAGGCGCGCGAUACAGGGUGACAGCCCCGUACACAAAAGCGCAUGUGCUGUGAGCUCGAUGAGUAGGGCGGGACACGUGGUAUCCUGUCUGAAUAUGGGGGGACCAUCCUCCAAGGCUAAAUACUCCUGACUGACCGAUAGUGAACCAGUACCGUGAGGGAAAGGCGAAAAGAACCCCGGCGAGGGGAGUGAAAAAGAACCUGAAACCGUGUACGUACAAGCAGUGGGAGCACCCUUUGGGUGUGACUGCGUACCUUUUGUAUAAUGGGUCAGCGACUUAUAUUCUGUAGCAAGGUUAACCGAAUAGGGGAGCCGGAGGGAAACCGAGUCUUAACCGGGCGUUAAGUUGCAGGGUAUAGACCCGAAACCCGGUGAUCUAGCCAUGGGCAGGUUGAAGGUUGGGUAACACUAACUGGAGGACCGAACCGACUAAUGUUGAAAAAUUAGCGGAUGACCUGUGGCUGGGGGUGAAAGGCCAAUCAAACCGGGAGAUAGCUGGUUCUCCCCGAAAGCUAUUUAGGUAGCGCCUCGUGAAUUCAUCUCCGGGGGUAGAGCACUGUUUCGGCUAGGGGGCCAUCCCGGCUUACCAACCCGAUGCAAACUGCGAAUACCGGAGAAUGUUAUCACGGGAGACACACGGCGGGUGCUAACGUCCGUCGUGAAGAGGGAAACAACCCAGACCGCCAGCUAAGGUCCCAAAGUCAUGGUUAAGUGGGAAACGAUGUGGGAAGGCCCAGACAGCCAGGAUGUUGGCUUAGAAGCAGCCAUCAUUUAAAGAAAGCGUAAUAGCUCACUGGUCGAGUCGGCCUGCGCGGAAGAUGUAACGGGGCUAAACCAUGCACCGAAGCUGCGGCAGCGACACUGUGUGUUGUUGGGUAGGGGAGCGUUCUGUAAGCCUGUGAAGGUGUGUCGUGAGGCAUGCUGGAGGUAUCAGAAGUGCGAAUGCUGACAUAAGUAACGAUAAAGCGGGUGAAAAGCCCGCUCGCCGGAAGACCAAGGGUUCCUGUCCAACGUUAAUCGGGGCAGGGUGAGUCGACCCCUAAGGCGAGGCCGAAAGGCGUAGUCGAUGGGAAACGGGUUAAUAUUCCCGUACUUGGUGUUACUGCGAAGGGGGGACGGAGAAGGCUAUGUUGGCCGGGCGACGGUUGUCCCGGUUUAAGCGUGUAGGUGUGUGUUCCAGGUAAAUCCGGUUCACUUUAACACUGAGGCGUGACGACGAGGCACUACGGUGCUGAAGCAACAAAUGCCCUGCUUCCAGGAAAAGCCUCUAAGCAUCAGGUAACAUCAAAUCGUACCCCAAACCGACACAGGUGGUCAGGUAGAGAAUACCAAGGCGCUUGAGAGAACUCGGGUGAAGGAACUAGGCAAAAUGGUGCCGUAACUUCGGGAGAAGGCACGCUGACACGUAGGUGAAGUGAUUUACUCAUGGAGCUGAAGUCAGUCGAAGAUACCAGCUGGCUGCAACUGUUUAUUAAAAACACAGCACUGUGCAAACACGAAAGUGGACGUAUACGGUGUGACGCCUGCCCGGUGCCGGAAGGUUAAUUGAUGGGGUCAGCGCAAGCGAAGCUCCUGAUCGAAGCCCCGGUAAACGGCGGCCGUAACUAUAACGGUCCUAAGGUAGCGAAAUUCCUUGUCGGGUAAGUUCCGACCUGCACGAAUGGCGUAAUGAUGGCCAGGCUGUCUCCACCCGAGACUCAGUGAAAUUGAACUCGCUGUGAAGAUGCAGUGUACCCGCGGCAAGACGGAAAGACCCCGUGAACCUUUACUAUAGCUUGACACUGAACAUUGAGCCUUGAUGUGUAGGAUAGGUGGGAGGCUUUGAAGUGUGGACGCCAGUCUGCAUGGAGCCGACCUUGAAAUACCACCCUUUAAUGUUUGAUGUUCUAACGUGGACCCGUUACCCGGGUUGCGGACAGUGUCUGGUGGGUAGUUUGACUGGGGCGGUCUCCUCCUAAAGAGUAACGGAGGAGCACGAAGGUUGGCUAAUCCUGGUCGGACAUCAGGAGGUUAGUGCAAUGGCAUAAGCCAGCUUGACUGCGAGCGUGACGGCGCGAGCAGGUGCGAAAGCAGGUCAUAGUGAUCCGGUGGUUCUGAAUGGAAGGGCCAUCGCUCAACGGAUAAAAGGUACUCCGGGGAUAACAGGCUGAUACCGCCCAAGAGUUCAUAUCGACGGCGGUGUUUGGCACCUCGAUGUCGGCUCAUCACAUCCUGGGGCUGAAGUAGGUCCCAAGGGUAUGGCUGUUCGCCAUUUAAAGUGGUACGCGAGCUGGGUUUAGAACGUCGUGAGACAGUUCGGUCCCUAUCUGCCGUGGGCGCUGGAGAACUGAGGGGGGCUGCUCCUAGUACGAGAGGACCGGAGUGGACGCAUCACUGGUGUUCGGGUUGUCAUGCCAAUGGCACUGCCCGGUAGCUAAAUGCGGAAGAGAUAAGUGCUGAAAGCAUCUAAGCACGAAACUUGCCCCGAGA
Molecule: ribosomal RNA, 2787 nt
Filed under: Salmonella enterica subsp. enterica serovar Enteritidis
Lineage: Bacteria; Pseudomonadati; Pseudomonadota; Gammaproteobacteria; Enterobacterales; Enterobacteriaceae
Description: partial 23S ribosomal RNA
Rfam family: Bacterial large subunit ribosomal RNA
Source: RNAcentral